Molecule: transfer RNA, 86 nt
Filed under: Synergistales bacterium
Lineage: Bacteria; Thermotogati; Synergistota; Synergistia; Synergistales
Also listed under: 1 other name
Description: tRNA-Leu
Rfam family: tRNA
About the family: Transfer RNA (tRNA) molecules are approximately 80 nucleotides in length. Their secondary structure includes four short double-helical elements and three loops (D, anti-codon, and T loops).
Source: RNAcentral
GCGAGAGUGGCGGAAGGGAAGACGCGCUGGACUUAGGAUCCAGUGGGCGCAGGCCCGUGUGGGUUCAAAUCCCACCUCUCGCACCA